UGUCGCAGUGACAUAGUGGUCAGUAUUUCCGCUUGUCAAGCAAUUGGCAAAUCGCGGGAGACUGGGGUUCAAUUUCAAUUCCCCGCUGGAGAG
Molecule: transfer RNA, 93 nt
Filed under: Bipolaris maydis (southern corn leaf blight pathogen)
Lineage: Eukaryota; Fungi; Ascomycota; Dothideomycetes; Pleosporales; Pleosporaceae
Description: tRNA-Asp
Source: RNAcentral